AGCAGCCGCGGUAAUUCCAGCUCCAAUAGCGUAUAUUAAAGUUGUUGCAGUUAAAAAGCUCGUAGUUGAAUUUCGGGGUCAGUAGGUCGGUCGUGCCACAGGUAUGCACUGGUCUCACCGAUUCCUCCUUCCUGAUGAACCGUAAUGCCAUUAAUUUGGUGUUGCGGGGAAACUGGACUGUUACUUUGAAAAAUUAGAGUGUUUAAAGCAGGCUAACGCUUGAAUACAUUAGCAUGGAAUAAUGAAAUAGGACGUUCGAUUCUAUUUUGUUGGUUUCUAGGAUUGACGUAAUGAUUAAUAGGGAUAGUUGGGGGCAUUAGUAUUCAAUUGUCAGAGGUGAAAUUCUUGGAUUUAUUGAAGACUAACUACUGCGAAAGCAUUUGCCAAGGAUGUUUUCAUUAAUCAAGAACGAAAGUUAAGGGGAUCGAAGACGAUCAGAUACCGUCGUAGUCUUAACCAUAAACUAUGCCGACUAGGGAUCGGAUGAUGUUAAUUUUAAUGUACUCAUUCGGCGUCCUUA
Molecule: ribosomal RNA, 520 nt
Filed under: uncultured Glomeromycotina
Lineage: Eukaryota; Fungi; Glomeromycota
Description: SSU rRNA
Rfam family: Eukaryotic small subunit ribosomal RNA
Source: RNAcentral